Molecule: ribosomal RNA, 527 nt
Filed under: Cirrhilabrus exquisitus (exquisite wrasse)
Lineage: Eukaryota; Metazoa; Chordata; Actinopteri; Labriformes; Labridae
Description: partial large subunit ribosomal RNA
Rfam family: Bacterial large subunit ribosomal RNA
Source: RNAcentral
GAGGUCCCGCCUGCCCUGUGACUGAGAGUUUAACGGCCGCGGUAUUUUGACCGUGCAAAGGUAGCGCAAUCACUUGUCUUUUAAAUGGAGACCUGUAUGAAUGGCAUAACGAGGGCUUAACUGUCUCCUCUUUCAAGUCAAUGAAAUUAAUCUCUCCGUGCAGAAGCGGAGAUAAUCUCACAAGACGAGAAGACCCUAUGAAGCUUUAGACAAAAAAGUAGAUCACGCCAAACACUCUCCGCCAAGAGACAAGAGCUUACGACCCCCUACCCGAUUGUCUUCGGUUGGGGCGACCACGGGGUAAAACAAAACCCCCAUGCAGAACGGGGUAAUCUACCCUAGAGCCAAGAGCGCCAGCUCCAAGCAACAGAACUUUUCUGACUAACCAGAUCCGGCCUAGCCGAUCUACGGACCGAGUUACUCUAGGGAUAACAGCGCAAUCCCCUUCUAGAGUCCCUAUCGACAAGGGGGUUUACGACCUCGAUGUUGGAUCAGGACAUCCUAUUGGUGCAGCCGCUAUUAAGGGU